This 223-nucleotide non-coding RNA is filed under the name Hominimerdicola alba. RNAcentral describes it as "Ruminococcus albus T-box sequence". It matches the Rfam family "T-box leader". From Rfam's summary of the family: Uncharged tRNA acts as the effector for transcription antitermination of genes in the T-box leader family. T-boxes are found upstream of many aminoacyl-tRNA synthetase genes and some amino acid biosynthetic genes usually in Gram-positive bacteria. Lineage: Bacteria; Bacillati; Bacillota; Clostridia; Eubacteriales; Oscillospiraceae. The record is from RNAcentral.
CUAAAUGCUAUGAUGGAAUGAAGUAGCCGUUGAAACAACUUCCAGAGAGUCUGCGGGUGGUGUGAGCGGGCAGUGUACAGCGGUGAAGUUACCUUCCUGAGCAGUCUGCCUGAAAUAUUUCAGUAGGGUGUGACCGUUUUGCCGCGUUAAGGUCAAAGAGGUCGGCGUUUGCCGAUAAACUGAGGUGGUACCGCGUUAAGCGUUAGCUGUUGACGCCCUCAGA